AAGCAGCAGCAAGGAGAGCCUAAGGAAAAGAGAGACAUCAGGAAUAAUGAAGCAAUACUGCUUUCCAUCCAGUCAGCCCACAGCGUUCUCCUUCAUCGAAUUAUUAUUCCCCAGGCAAGAUGUAUUCCUCUACAAAUAAGAUCGUACUCGAUGAGAGAAUAUCAGUCCACUACAGUCUGUCUGUUUUUUGAAUAUUACCCUGGUUGACAGAUGUUUUGCCCCCUUGUUACCAUAGCUGUGGAUGCCCCACCCACGGAGGCAUUCAAGACCAGGCUGGAUGUGGGUCUGGACAGCCUGGUGUAGUGGUUGGCGACCCUUUACAUAACAAGGGGGUAGAAAUAGAUGACCUUUGAGGUCUUUUUCAACCCAGGCCAUUCUAUGAUCCUAUGAUGAUUCUAUAAUUCUAUGUUUCUAUGAUUCUAUGAAAAAAGCAAUAUGAAUCACAUUCAGCCAUCACUGAAGUAACUGAUAAAGCUAGUACCAAAUUUGUGGACCCUGGCUUUCACUUAUAAACUAUUUUGUUGACAAUGUACUAUAGAAAUGUGGAAUUGAAACUUCAGAGGAAAAUGUAUAUGUUAUAUAGACAGAUGUUUGUUAUAUGCACAGCUGCAGAAAUGCUUGCUGUGCAUAUUUGGUGAUAAUUUAUUAAAAUGCAACUCUAUAAUUUUUUUUCCUUUUAGGUUUUUAAAAUAUAUACAUGUAUAUUUUAAAUAUACAAAUAGACAUAGUUUCUCAUCACUGUAACUUUCUCACUGUGUUGUUCCCAAUCUGUUGUUUCACAAACAAGUGGACGCUCCUGGAAAGCAUAAUCCCCAAUUACACUCU
Molecule: long non-coding RNA, 825 nt
Organism: Gallus gallus (chicken)
Lineage: Eukaryota; Metazoa; Chordata; Aves; Galliformes; Phasianidae
Source: Ensembl